This 257-nucleotide ribosomal RNA is filed under the name uncultured bacterium. RNAcentral's name for it is "partial 16S ribosomal RNA". It matches the Rfam family "Bacterial small subunit ribosomal RNA", at positions 524 to 776 of the family's 1533-position model. The record is from RNAcentral.
UACAGAGACCUCAAGCGUUAUCCGGAAUCAUUGGGCGUAAAGCGUACCGAUAGGUGGUUAAGAUAGUCAGAUGUGAAAUCUCCGAGCUCAACUCGGAAUCUGUCAUUUGAAACUUCUUGACUAGAGGGGCAAAGAGGAAGCUGGAACAAACGGUGUAGUAGUGAAAUGCGUUGAUAUCGUUUGGAACACCAAUAGCGAAGGCAGGCUUCUGGGUGCCACCUGACACUUCUAGGACGAAAGCGUGGGGAGCGAAUGGG